Long non-coding RNA from Cucurbita maxima (winter squash), 339 nucleotides. RefSeq lists it as uncharacterized. The record is from RefSeq and is a predicted model, not a curated record. The transcript has 2 exons. NCBI's taxonomy places the organism in Eukaryota, Viridiplantae, Streptophyta, Magnoliopsida, Cucurbitales, Cucurbitaceae.
GCAAAACAAAAUAAAUUAAAAGGAAGUUGCAGAAAAGAAUGAGAUGAGAGCGGUGGCUGAGUAUUCGGCAAUCGGAGGGAGAGAGAGGAGAGAGAGAGAGAGAGAGAGAGAGAGAAGAUAUAAUUCUGUUCCAUGAAAUAAGAAAAGGCAUAGAACCCCUAGCAAACAAGAAACAAGAUAAUAAAGGAGGAGGGAAGGAAGAACAACAGAGAAGAAAAAAGAUACUCUAGUAAGAAUUUAUUGUGUGCACAUAUUUUAAAUCUUAAGUUAUGCAAAAAGUUGUGAAAUCGCUGAUGGUCUUUUCUUUAAACAAUGAAAGAAACUUUUCAUUGAAGAGAU